RNAcentral lists this ribosomal RNA (445 nucleotides) under fungal sp. Its description in RNAcentral is "SSU rRNA". It matches the Rfam family "Eukaryotic small subunit ribosomal RNA", at positions 634 to 1077 of the family's 1831-position model. The record is from RNAcentral. Lineage: Eukaryota; Fungi.
UUGUAAGUUUGGGGUUAGUAGGUUGGUCGUGCCUCUGGUAUGUACUGGUCUCACUUCGAUUCCUCCUUCCNAGAUGAGCCGUAAUGUCCUUAAUUNGGGUGUUGCGGGGAAUUUGGACUGUUACUUUAGAAAAAUUAGAGUGUUUAAAGCAAGCUAACGCUUGAAUACAUUAGCGUGGAAUAAUGAAAUAGGACGUUCGAUCCUAUUUUGUUGGUUUCUAGGAUUGACGUAAUGAUUAAUAGGGAUAGUUGGGGGCAUUAGUAUUCAAUUGUCAGAGGUGAAAUUCUUGGAUUUAUUGAAGACUAACUACUGCGAAAGCAUUUGCCAAGGAUGUUUUCAUUAAUCAAGAACGAAAGUUAGGGGAGCGAAGACGAUCAGAUACCGUCGUAGUCUUAACCAUAAACUAUGCCGACUAGGGAUCGGAUGAUGUUAAUUUUAAUGACUC